AGAGUUUGAUCCUGGCUCAGGAUGAACGCUGGCGGCGUGCUUAAGACAUGCAAGUCGAACGCAAUUUGGCCGCAAGGCUGAGUUGAGUGGCGAAUGGGUGCGUAACACGUAGGUGACCUGCCCGGAAGUGGGGAAUAACAGUCCGAAAGGACUGCUAAUACCGCAUACGGUGCACGGGUUUUGAAGCCGUGUUCCAAAGGUACGAGAAAUCGUGCCGCUUUCGGAGGGGCCUGCGGCCCAUCAGCUAGUUGGUAGGGUAACGGCCUACCAAGGCGACGACGGGUAGGGGACCUGAGAGGGUGACCCCCCACACUGGCACUGACACACGGGCCAGACUCCUACGGGAGGCAGCAGUCGGGAAUAUUGCCCAAUGGACGAAAGUCUGAGGCAGCAACGCCGCGUGCGCGAUGAAGGCCUUCGGGUCGUAAAGCGCUUUUCGGGUGGAUGAGAGAGGACAGUACACCCGGAAUCAGGUACGGCUAACUACGUGCCAGCAGCCGCGGUAAAACGUAGGUACCGAGCGUUAUCCGGAUUUACUGGGCGUAAAGCGCGUUCAGGCGGUUUGACAAGUCGGGCAUGAAAUCUCUCGGCUCAACCGGGAGAGGUUGUCCGAUACUGUCAGACUGGAGGGCAGUAGAGGGUGGUGGAAUUCCGGGUGUAGUGGUGAAAUGCGUAGAGAUCCGGAGGAACACCAGUGGCGAAAGCGGCCACCUGGACUGCACCUGACGCUGAAACGCGAAAGCUAGGGGAGCGAACGGGAUUAGAAACCCCGGUAGUCCUAGCUAUAAACGAUGUUGACUAGGUGUCGACGGGUUAAAAUCCGCCGGUGCCGGAGCAAACGCAUUAAGUCAACCGCCUGGGGACUACGGCCGCAAGGUUAAAACUCAAAAGGAAUUGACGG
This 901-nucleotide ribosomal RNA is filed under the name uncultured bacterium. RNAcentral's name for it is "bacterial SSU rRNA". It matches the Rfam family "Bacterial small subunit ribosomal RNA", at positions 8 to 916 of the family's 1533-position model. The record is from RNAcentral.